This 495-nucleotide ribosomal RNA is filed under the name uncultured bacterium. Its description in RNAcentral is "partial 16S ribosomal RNA". It matches the Rfam family "Bacterial small subunit ribosomal RNA", at positions 28 to 507 of the family's 1533-position model. The record is from RNAcentral.
GACGAACGCUGGCGGCGUGCCUAAUACAUGCCAGUAGAACGCUGAAGGAGGAGCUUGCUCUUCAGGAUGAGUUGCGAACGGGUGAGUAACGCGUAGGUAACCUGCCUGGUAGCGGGGGAUAACUAUUGGAAACGAUAGCUAAUACCGCAUAAGAGUAGAUGUUGCAUGACAUUUACUUAAAAGGUGCAAUUGCAUCACUACCAGAUGGACCUGCGUUGUAUUAGCUAGUUGGUGGGGUAACGGCUUACCAAGGCGACGAUACAUAGCCGACCUGAGAGGGUGAUCGGCCACACUGGGACUGAGACACGGCCCAGACUCCUACGGGAGGCAGCAGUAGGGAAUCUUCGGCAAUGGACGGAAGUCUGACCGAGCAACGCCGCGUGAGUGAAGAAGGGUUUCGGAUCGUAAAGCUCUGUUGUAAGAGAAGAACGAGUGUGAGAGUGGAAAGUUCACACUGUGACGGUAUCUUACCAGAAAGGGACGGCUAACUACGUG